Molecule: long non-coding RNA, 1110 nt
Organism: Lemur catta (Ring-tailed lemur)
Lineage: Eukaryota; Metazoa; Chordata; Mammalia; Primates; Lemuridae
Exons: 3
Source: RefSeq, a predicted model, not a curated record
CUAUGCUUAUUAAGAAAUACUGCCAACAGUUCUAUAGUUAGCUUCUCCAAGAAUUAUGUGGAGGAACAGGAGACUGCUCACCACUCAUCCCUGGAAACUAUAAAAUAGCUUCCAGAUACAUGUGCCCAGCAUGGUGAUUUUUUUUUUUUUUUUAAUUUUUUUCUUCUAAGACCCCUGGAAACCCACACAUUCAGAACUCUUGUCUCCUGGGAAUAAUGUGUGUGGGUACAAAGCUAUGCAAGAGGAAGAAGGACUCGCCUCGGGAGGGGGUUUGCACACAAAGACUCAGAGCACCAUGAAGAGCACAGGACUACAGAAAGCGGACACCAAUCUCUUCCGCUUCAGGGAAUCUCCUCGCCCGUGAGGACUUCUCGCCAUUCGCUCACAUUGUGCGCAUCAUCAAGAAAUGUGCCAUUCCCUUCCGGAACUACCCCUGGACUCCCACUGUGAGACAGUGCAGCCCUGGAACCAAAUCAGAGGAUACUAGCUUGCCCCUCAUUCUCCUCAGCUCCCUCUCACAAGAGCUCUGGGCCAAGCAGCAGAAACCCUCCUGGAUCUUGACUCCCAGCAAUAAGGUGCAUAACUGGGCUCCAAAGGAUGAACUAGAAGAUUUCUGGCACCCCGAUGUAUGGCAAGCCUAUGAGAAUAUUAAAAAGAAAUUUCUACCUGAAUAUAUGAAAAGGCGGCAGCGUGAUAAGAGUAAACAUGUCCUGACAAAUAUUAGCUCAAAAUUUUAAGAUUACCGUAGAAAAAUAAGAAAUCAUAUAAUUAUUCUCUGCAGAAAAGAUAUCCAUGGAAACAGCCAAAAUUCCAGCUGUUACUUUUAAUCAAGUGACCCUGGAGGUGCCUAGAAGCACAAGGAAAAGGACAACCUCUACAAUGUACAGAAGGUCAAAUUAAAGCCCCAGAAUCAAACUUUACUUGAAGGGAGAAGAGGCUGGCAAAAUUGAAACAAUGGAAAAUUAAGAGUAAACACAGCAAUGAGAUAUUCAUUUACCGUCCUCAUGUUAACACUGCCUGCAACAAUGCACUUAAGGAUAAAGUCCUCCUACCCUGGUCUCCAUUCUACUAAAGCACAGCUCACAAAUGAAUAGUAUAUUGCCCCUCACA